CUUGUUCUAGUUAGGUUCAUUCUUUUUUACUGUGAACUGUUUUAAUUUUCAGCGUUUGAGGAAUGUCUUUUAGUCAUAGGGAUAGACUAUUAGAAUGUUAACCGAGCUGAAGUCAGGUUUAGACCUGGUAUCCUAUUAAUUAUUUACCAAAAGAAUUCAGUAUUAUUAUUGUAACAUAAGCGUAAAAAACUUAUAAAACAACUUUUAACAACGGAUCUCUUGGUUCCCGCAUCGAUGAAGAACGUAGCAAAGUGCGAUAACUAGUGUGAAUUGCAUAUUCAGUGAAUCAUCGAGUCUUUGAACGCAACUUGCGCUCAAUGGUAUUCCAUUGAGCACGCCUGUUUCAGUAUCAAAAACACCCCACAUUCAUAAUUUUGUUGUGAAUGGAACUGAGAAUUUCGACUUGUUUGAAUUCUUUAAACUUAUUAGGCCUGAACUAUUGUUCUUUCUGCCUGAACAUUUUUUUAAUAUAAAGGAAUGCUCUAGUAUUAAGACUAUCUCUGGGGCCUCCCAAAUAAAACUUUCUUAAAUU
RNAcentral lists this ribosomal RNA (532 nucleotides) under Mucor hiemalis. Its description in RNAcentral is "eukaryotic LSU rRNA". The stretch from base 200 to 352 matches the Rfam family "5.8S ribosomal RNA". Lineage: Eukaryota; Fungi; Mucoromycota; Mucoromycetes; Mucorales; Mucoraceae. The record is from RNAcentral.